This is a transfer RNA of Strongyloides ratti, 74 nucleotides long. It matches the Rfam family "tRNA". Rfam says of the family: Transfer RNA (tRNA) molecules are approximately 80 nucleotides in length. Their secondary structure includes four short double-helical elements and three loops (D, anti-codon, and T loops). Further hydrogen bonds mediate the characteristic L-shaped molecular structure. tRNAs have two regions of fundamental functional importance: the anti-codon, which is responsible for specific mRNA codon recognition, and the 3' end, to which the tRNAs corresponding amino acid is attached (by aminoacyl-tRNA synthetases). tRNAs cope with the degeneracy of the genetic code in two manners: having more than one tRNA (with a specific anti-codon) for a particular amino acid; and 'wobble' base-pairing, i.e. permitting non-standard base-pairing at the 3rd anti-codon position. The record is from Rfam. NCBI's taxonomy places the organism in Eukaryota, Metazoa, Nematoda, Chromadorea, Rhabditida, Strongyloididae.
GGUCAUAUGGUGUAGUCGGUUAUCACGUCUGCUUUACACGCAGAAGGUCGCCGAUUCGAGUUCGGCUAUGAUCA